AUUGAACGCUGGCGGCAUGCCUUACACAUGCAAGUCGAACGGCAGCACGGGAUUCAGGCAACUGAGCCCUGGUGGCGAGUGGCGAACGGGUGAGUAAUGCAUCGGAACGUGCCCAGUAGUGGGGGAUAACUAGUCGAAAGAUUAGCUAAUACCGCAUACGACCUAUGGGUGAAAGCGGGGGAUUUUCGGGCAACCGAGAACCUCGCGCUAUCGGAGCGGCCGAUGUCUGAUUAG
This 234-nucleotide ribosomal RNA is filed under the name uncultured bacterium. RNAcentral's name for it is "partial 16S ribosomal RNA". It matches the Rfam family "Bacterial small subunit ribosomal RNA", at positions 30 to 244 of the family's 1533-position model. The record is from RNAcentral.